GAGGGCAUUGAUUGGAAAAGCAUGGAAUUUUGUGAGUUGGAAUGGGGAAUUAUGAGGAGACCUCAAGGAAGCUUUAGAUAUUAAAUUCCUAAAUUCUAAUGAGAUUAUUUUUUCUCCCCAGUGGAAGAGGCCUUCACUGUCAUCACCAGUGAAAGCAAUCUUGCCACCACAGGGUAAUUGGUGUCACCAGUUGGUAUCACCACAGUGGCUUCCUGUGGGUGGCCAUGCCUAAGCUAUUUGAAUAGCCUCUACUCAACCUUGGAGCCAAGGAGAUUUUGGCCUGGAAUUGCAAGUCCUUUUGUGGCUUAUAAUACAAAGGAUGUGGUGACCUCAGUUUUCACUCGGCUAGAGAGGCUGCUCUGUAGCUCUGAACUUGGGCAUUACCCAUUGGGCUUGGAUAGCCCCCCUCCUACCUUAUUUGGAAAAGAACAUUCCAAUGAAGUCCUCUGAAGCCCCCUUGUAUAAAUGAAGCAAACACAGGCUCCCCCCUCCUUCCAGUGUGGAAACAGAACGCCUAAGGUCACAGAGCUGACCCAUCUUCGCUUUUCAAAAUUAUUUCUGUGUCGUGAGUUUUCACCAUAUUUCUCAAUUUCACACAAGGGAAAUCCAUAUUUUAUAGCCUGCACUGGAGGCAAGAGAGAAAUAUGAGAAUUGAGAAGUGGCUCCCGGAACAGGGGCCCUCUGUAUGUAGUUAAGGUAACUGGCUAUUUAAUCCUCUCUCAUAAGAAAAGCACACUUACCUUAUUUAAUUGUGGAUUUUUUGAACUGUGGAUUCUUGAGUUGUGGAUAUUUUAUAUUGUGGAUUGAAGAAUUAUUGGAUUGAAAUGUUUUCAACAAGAAUUUUCUGGAUCUAGUGUAUUGUGGAUUGGUUUUUGCAAGUAAGAGGAGAGAGGAAAGUUUUUUUUUUUUUUUAACUGUGGGGUGCUAAGCCUGGGAAAUUCUUAGAGAAAUAAAUUUAAUAGAGGGAGUGGCACAUAAGUGUCACUUGGAAUUAGUAAUCCACUGUUAGACCAGGAUGCAAGAAAAGACCACUGACUCCAAUUAAAAUCAAAUUAAAGCAAGCUUAUUAUUUCAACUGGCCGGGCUGCCUCUCCCACCCAAAACCGAGGGAACAAGACAGCAGCCGCAGCUUUCCUGCAGCCCAGCUUUAUAGCGCAGAAAGUUACACAAAGGGGGGUUACAGAUAACAGAACUCUGACGAGAAUAACACUAAUGGUAGUUUACAUUUUUGCUGGCCUGACAUCAGAAUUUAUGAAGGUCAUUAGAGCCUCAGAGAGGGUUGUUAUCUGGCCAGGGAAGGCCAAGAUUUGUGAGGCAUCACUAAAGUUUCAGAGAGGGCUGCUAUCUGGUCAGAGAGCCAGGCAUGGGUGAGUUCAAGGCAAGGGCAGGCAUUCCAAGCAGGUUCAGAAUUUGCAGUAAUUUAUAGUAAAACCGGAAUUAUCUUUUCAUGACUUUGUGGCGAGAUGGCUCCCAAUUUUAAGAAAAGAUCAGGUUGGGUCUAUCA
This 1504-nucleotide long non-coding RNA is filed under the name Marmota monax (woodchuck). Lineage: Eukaryota; Metazoa; Chordata; Mammalia; Rodentia; Sciuridae. The record is from RNAcentral.